UUUACUGGCUUUUACCUGUAUAUCCAAGAGGUUAGACAUGAACCAUAACUUGUCUUUUUUGUUCUCUCUCUCCAAUGGCAGAUGGGAUGGCCCUGUAAGUUGUGCAGCACUGUUGUACCAACCAAGAGUGACAUUUUAAAGCAUUACAGACUGCAACAUGGGACCUUUGGACACAGCCAUUCCUUGCCUUGCAUUCAUAUUAAUGAAGCGGAAUCAACAUUUAUGUCCCAACUGGACAGGUACAUGCCAAAGCUCCUGGAGUGACUGCAGCGCAUCAAGAACUUGUUGAUGGAACUGAUACAGGACCCAAGUGCCUCUGCAGUGAAGAAGAGAGAUGUGACUGUGAGAUGCCUCAUAGAGUACGUGGGAGAGAGUGGACAGGAGCUAAUCUCUGACUACUGGAACUGCAGAGACCACUGUUCAUGAGGACCUGGAAAUGAAGAAUAUGAGCAUCUACAUCUGUCGUGAGCCAAAUGCAGUAGGAAUCAUCAUUGAGGGAGUACCAGUCCUUACUCAUCUUGGAAACCUGGUCAAAGCAUGCUGCCUACUUCCGGGGUUGACGUAUGCACUUAAUCUUGAGUAUCCAUCCAAACUUUCCAAAACAUUUGAGGUGUUUCAAAGACUUUUUGUGGGACUUGACACACUGCGCCCAAAACCAACCCCCAAAUUCAUGACUCUCAAAAACAAGUUUCUAGCUUAGGCAGUGAGCCAUGACUGUCAGCUUGCACUUUUGAACAGCUAUUUUCUUGUGUCUGUUCAAAAUCUUUAUACAUUGUUCAUUGAGUGGAAUUCUUCAGAAUGUUGUAACGGUUUGUCCUGUUCAGGUUUUAUACAAAGCUCCAGGUCAUCGUUUCUGGUGUGUAAAUUAAGUUUUUUUUAUGUUUUAUACACACUAAAUUGCCCCACUGUGAAGCUCCAGCUGGUCAGAAGGAGGGAUCUGUGAGUUGUUUAAGUUAAAAUGUUUCAAAAUAUACACACUGAAAGACACUACAGUGAAGGUGUUCUGCUUGUGAAUUGUUACAGAAGUACAGAUAAUCUUAAUGUUAAAUUGUUUUAGCAAGAAACUGUACUGUGAAUGUUCUAAGUAAAACUUGAGAUGCUGAGGUCAUGCAUUCUUUUAUGCACUAAAUACUGAUGUUCUUGACUGUUAAUACUGUCCAGCUUAUUGACAGGUUUGGAUAUGGCUUGUGAAAAUGUUUUAAUAUGUAUACGGUUAAAAAAAGAAAACUACUGUGAAGGUGUUCUAUACAGCACUUUAAAAAGUUGAGGUCAUGCAUUCUUGUAUAAUAUGGAUGUUGACUGUUCAUACUGUCCAGCUCAUUGCCACUGUUUUUAUAUGGUAAUGAUUUAAUAAAGGUUGGAAUUUGA
Molecule: long non-coding RNA, 1368 nt
Organism: Nerophis lumbriciformis (worm pipefish)
Lineage: Eukaryota; Metazoa; Chordata; Actinopteri; Syngnathiformes; Syngnathidae
Source: RefSeq, a predicted model, not a curated record